This is a long non-coding RNA of Parambassis ranga (Indian glassy fish), 3654 nucleotides long. The record is from Ensembl. NCBI's taxonomy places the organism in Eukaryota, Metazoa, Chordata, Actinopteri, Ambassidae.
GGAGAUGAUUUCUGUUCUUUCUGCUUAUGUAACAUGCAUGUCCGUUUUUCGUUCAGAGCUGAGGGCCGGCGAUGGUCUCUGGCCUCCCUGCCCUCGUCUGGCUAUGGAACCAAUCCACCGAGCUCCACUGUCUCGUCCUCUUCAUCAUCCCAGGAGCGUCUUCAUCAGCUUCCCUACCAGCCAACACAAGAUGAACUGCACUUCCUCUUCAAACACUUCCGCAGCACAGACAGCAUGACAGAUGAGGAUGGACGCCCCUCGCCUGUCAUACGACCUCGGUCCCGCAGCCUCAGCCCUGGGCGUUCAAGUGUCUCCUUCGAUAAUGAGAUAGUCAUGAUGAACCACGUUUACAGAGAGCGUUUUCCAAAGGCCACAGCCCAGAUGGAGGAACGCUUGUUAGAGAUAGUCACCCACUAUUCUCCAGACAGCUCCCUCCCGCUGCCUGACGGGGUACUGGGCUUCAUCCAGCACCAGUUGGUGGAGCUGGUCAGAGACUGUCUGGAUAAGUCUCAGAAAGGUCUGGUUACUUCCCGCUACUUUGCUGAGCUGCAGGAAAAGCUGGAAAAGCUGUUUCAUGAGGCCUACGAGCGCUCUGAAAGCGAGGAGGUAACUGUCAUCACCCAGCUGGUUAGGAAGAUCCUCAUCAUAAUCUCUCGGCCGGCUCGCCUCCUUGAAUGUCUGGAGUUUGACCCGGAAGAGUUUUAUCACCUACUUGAAGCAGCAGAGGGUCAUGCCAAAGUCGGCCAGGGAAUUAAGACGGACAUCCCGCGCUACAUCAUCAGCCAGCUCGGCCUGACGCGGGACCUGUUGGAAGAUGGUAGGUCUAAUGUAGGUUGCGUGAUGUUCAACAGGGCCGUGUAUCUGGUCCGUCACAAGGAGACUCGUCAGCGAUUUGCCAUGAAAAAGAUAAAUCGUCAGAACCUGGUGCUAAGGAAUCAGAUUCAGCAGGCAUUCGUGGAGCGGGACAUCCUAACCUUUGCUGAGAACCCUUUUGUUGUCUCCAUGUUCUGCUCUUUUGAGACACGGCGUCAUCUUUGCAUGGUCAUGGAGUAUGUAGAAGGUAAACAAAACAUCAUAAAUGUUGAAAUUGCCUUGUCUAUGAUUAGGUUCAUUCUAUCAAUCAAAAGUAUAAUCUUUUUUUGUCUUUUGCCACUUGACAGUUUGCUGAUAACCUCCAUGGGUCACAUCAAGCUGACAGAUUUUGGCCUGUCUAAAAUUGGACUGAUGAACAUGACCACCAACCUGUACGAAGGUCACAUUGAGAAAGACACAAGAGAAUUUGUUGACAAACAGGUAUGUGGCACUCCAGAGUACAUUGCUCCAGAGGUGAUCCUUAGGCAGGGCUAUGGGAAGCCAGUGGACUGGUGGGCAAUGGGGGUCAUUCUUUAUGAGUUUCUGGUUGGCUGUGUUCCAUUUUUUGGAGACACCCCUGAAGAGCUUUUUGGACAAGUUGUUAGUGAUGAAAUAAUUUGGCCAGAAGGAGACGAUGCCCUACCUACUGAUGCACAGGACCUGAUUACUCGUCUGCUGAGGCAGAACCCUUUAGACCGAAUUGGAACAGGUGGAGCCUCAGAGGUGAAGCAGCAUCCUUUCUUCCUGGGUUUAGACUGGAAUGGACUUCUCCGACAGAAAGCAGAGUUCAUCCCUCAGCUGGAGGCGGAGGAUGACACCAGCUAUUUUGACACUCGGUCAGAACGCUACCAUCAUUUGGCAUCUGAUGAGGACGAAGAAACCAAUGAUGAAGAGUCUUCCCUAGAAAUUAGACAGUUUGCUUCCUGGUCACAUCGCUUCAGUAAGGUGGUGGUGUCAAACCUUCGGAGAAUCAGAAUUCGGAGCAACAGCACUGGGGCUAAACACUCAUCCCCUAAGGACCCAGCAGGCCCUCGGCGCUUCGGUAACCAGCUGGAAACACCAGACAGGCAGAGGCUUCCCUGUGGAGGAAAGGUUCCAAAGUCAGCCUCUGUCUCUGCAUUGUCUCUCAUCAUUACUACAGAUGACUCUCCCAGUGGCCUCCAGCCCAGUCCCAUUUCGCCACGUUCACUUUCUUCCAACCCCUCAUCUCGUGACUCGUCCCCUAACCGAGAUCUGUUCUUCAGCCCCGGCAGCCUCAGGCCACCAAUCGUCAUCCACACCUCAGGGAAGAAGUACGGCUUCACCCUGCAGGCCAUCCGGGUCUACAUGGGUGACAGUGAUGUGUACACUGUGCAUCAUAUGGUGUCGAGUGUGGAGGAGGGCAGCCCAGCUCACCAGGCAGGUCUCUGCACUGGAGACCUCAUCACCCACGUGAACGGAGAGUCUGUCCAAGGCCUGGUCCACCCAGAGAUGAUAGAACUGCUACUGAAGAGUGGCAGCAAGGUGGCUCUGCAGACCAUAGCACUGGAGAACACGUCAAUCAAAGUUGGCCCAGCUCGAAAAACCAAACACAAAGGCAAGAUGGCACGUCGCAGCAAGAAGAGCAAGAGGAGAGAUAAUUACGACAGGCGACGGAGUAUCUUAAAGAAGUUAUCCAAGCAGAGUACAGUGAUGCACAGCAGUCGCAGCUUCUCCUCAGGCCUCCAUCACUCAGUUUCCUCCAGUGAGAGUCUUCCAGGCUCCCCGACACACAGCCUCUCCCCUGACAACACUCCUUGCUCUCCUCAGAGCACAUCUCCUUGCUCCAGCUCUCCUAGCUCCCCUGCUGCACACAUCCGGCCCAGCUCGCUCCAUGGCCUGGGAUCCAAACUCAGCACGCAACGCUACACCAAGGUUGGCCGUCGGAAGUCGACCAGUAACAUCCCUCCAUCCCCGUUGGCCUGCAGUGGGGAGCGCUCACCGUCCCCACUUCCAGGCUUUGCCAAAACUCUUCACACCUUCCAUGGCAAAACCCUGUCACCACCCACCAUUGUUAGACAUGUUGUUCGGCCCCGCAGUGCUGAACCACCCCGGUCUCCACUGCUCAAGAGGGUGCAGUCAGCUGAGAAGCUGUCUGGAGUUUAUCAUGUUGACAAGAAGUCAUACGCUCCCCGCAGACACACACUGGAAGUGCCCUUUUACUGUGAAGGUGACCUGCUGGGUGACUCCGAGGUAGAGGGGGCUUUUGGGUGCUCCUACAUUGGGGCUGACCACACCAGACUGGGGUGCUACAUAAGCAGUCAAAGGAUAGAACGGUCAGAGCAGCUAGUUGUGAUGCGGAAGCUCAACCUAUCAGAGCGGCGAGACUCCUUUAAGAAGCAAGAGGCAGUGCAGGAGGUGAGCUUUGAUGAGCCAGAGGAGAAAAAUGGCACCACAGUGACCACCGCAGCCCCAGGAGCCCAAACACAGUGUCAGCAGCAGCACAGGAUAGCCUGGAUGGCCACUCGACCCCAGAGCAGCCAGGAGGUGGAGCUGGAAGUCCCGGUGGUGAGGAGGUUUACAUUGGUGCCCCAAAUCGCCGUGCAGGGCUCAACAGAAAGUGAGGAGCAGGAUGAGUGGGAGCCAUGCUCAGAUGGAGAGGAAUCCACUGAUAGGCCUGAGCUGGAGGUGAGCAUCACUUCAAUUCAGCAGCAGCAAACAGGACAUCCUCUUGCUGACAGCAGCUGCAGUGAGGCAGAAACCACUUCCUCUGGUCCUGCACCAGCAUCAGAGAAACCUGAGUGCAGAGAGGAAAUGCCCCAAAAAGGGCCUUUGAGAAAAUGA